GACGAACGCUGGCGGCGUGCUUAACACAUGCAAGUCGAACGGAAAGGCCCUGCUUUUGUGGGGUGCUCGAGUGGCGAACGGGUGAGUAACACGUGAGUAACCUGCCCUUGACUUUGGGAUAACUUCAGGAAACUGGGGCUAAUACCGGAUAGGAGCUCCUGCUGCAUGGUGGGAGUUGGAAAGUUUCGGCGGUUGGGGAUGGACUCGCGGCUUAUCAGCUUGUUGGUGGGGUAGUGGCUUACCAAGGCUUUGACGGGUAGCCGGCCUGAGAGGGUGACCGGCCACAUUGGGACUGAGAUACGGCCCAGACUCCUACGGGAGGCAGCAGUGGGAAUAUUGCACAAUGGGCGGAAGCCUGAUGCAGCAACGCCGCGUGCGGGAUGACGGCCUUCGGGUUGUAAACCGCUUUCGCCUGUGACGAAGCGUGAGUGACGGUAAUGGGUAAAGAAGCACCGGCUAACUACGUG
This 467-nucleotide ribosomal RNA is filed under the name uncultured bacterium. RNAcentral's name for it is "partial 16S ribosomal RNA". It matches the Rfam family "Bacterial small subunit ribosomal RNA", at positions 28 to 507 of the family's 1533-position model. The record is from RNAcentral.